CGUGUAGGCGGCUUGGUAAGUCAGAUGUGAAAGCCCUGGGCUUAACCCAGGAAGUGCAUUUGAAACUGUCAGGCUUGAGUAGGGAAGAGGAAGGUGGAAUUCCUGGUGUAGAGGUGAAAUUCGUAGAUAUCAGGAGGAACACCGGUGGCGAAGGCGACCUUCUGGUCCUAUACUGACGCUGAGACGCGAAAGCAUGGGUAGCAAACA
RNAcentral lists this ribosomal RNA (207 nucleotides) under uncultured delta proteobacterium. Its description in RNAcentral is "partial 16S ribosomal RNA". It matches the Rfam family "Bacterial small subunit ribosomal RNA", at positions 568 to 774 of the family's 1533-position model. Lineage: Bacteria; Deltaproteobacteria. The record is from RNAcentral.